RNAcentral lists this ribosomal RNA (497 nucleotides) under uncultured bacterium. RNAcentral's name for it is "partial 16S ribosomal RNA". It matches the Rfam family "Bacterial small subunit ribosomal RNA", at positions 28 to 507 of the family's 1533-position model. The record is from RNAcentral.
GACGAACGCUGGCGGCGUGCCUAAUACAUGCAAGUAGAACGCUGAAGAGAGGAGCUUGCUCUUCUUGGAUGAGUUGCGAACGGGUGAGUAACGCGUAGGUAACCUGCCUUGUAGCGGGGGAUAACUAUUGGAAACGAUAGCUAAUACCGCAUAACAAUGGAUGACACAUGUCAUUUAUUUGAAAGAGGCAAUUGCUCCACUACAAGAUGGACCUGCGUUGUAUUAGCUAGUAGGUGAGGUAAUGGCUCACCUAGGCGACGAUACAUAGCCGACCUGAGAGGGUGAUCGGCCACACUGGGACUGAGACACGGCCCAGACUCCUACGGGAGGCAGCAGUAGGGAAUCUUCGGCAAUGGGGGCAACCCUGACCGAGCAACGCCGCGUGAGUGAAGAAGGUUUUCGGAUCGUAAAGUUCUGUUGUAAGUCAAGAACGGGUGUGAGAGUGGAAAGUUCACACUGUGACGGUAGCUUACCAGAAAGGGACGGCUAACUACGUG